Molecule: ribosomal RNA, 253 nt
Filed under: uncultured bacterium
Lineage: Bacteria
Description: partial 16S ribosomal RNA
Rfam family: Bacterial small subunit ribosomal RNA
Source: RNAcentral
UACGAAGGGGGCUAGCGUUACUCGGAAUUACUGGGCGUAAAGGGCGCGUAGGCGGCGUUCCAAGUUAGGCGUGAAAGUCCUGGGCUCAACCUGGGAACUGCGCUUAAGACUGGAAUGCUAGAGGAUGGAAGAGGGUUGUGGAAUUCCCAGUGUAGAGGUGAAAUUCGUAGAUAUUGGGAAGAACACCGGUGGCGAAGGCGGCAACCUGGUCCAUUUCUGACGCUGAGGCGCGAUAGCGUGGGGAGCAAACAGG